UCCGUCUAGGCGGGUCUAGGCCCAUGCCUAAUUAGUCCAUACUAAUCUAGAUUAGUUCAUGGUCUAGGUCUACGGAAGACCGAAUGAAAUUUUGAAAAUAAGAGUUUUUAAUCGACGACAUAUUGGCAAGUACCUAUUGGCAAAAUUCGGAUUGUCGCGUAUUUUGCAUUUCAAAGUGUUAAUUUAUUUUGAUGAAUUCGGAAAAUGCACUAAGUAUAAUUAUGUUGGCAAGGUUAGCUGGGUCAGCGUGUAGGCCUCAAUAAAACUAUUAUAAAGAACGACUAAGUACUGUCUGUGUAUCGCCUCACCAUCAAUUGCCUCCACAUCGAAGAGCUCCUCGGAUCGGAUUUGUUUGAUGAUUUUCCGGUGGCCUAGUGGAAUAACCAGAGAUGAGUCAACUGUCACAAACUACUAAGAAGAUACUAUAGUCACUGUGCUUGCGCCAAAGCUGCUGAAAUAAUGGCGUAAUAAUACCAGCUGAUGCUUUUUAGUCCGGGGGCCAGCUGCAUGAAAUCCACCUGGUAAAAGAAAUGAAAUUACCCACUCUGUGAGGGUAGCUGACUUUUAAUAGGUUCAACUGCUCUGGUCGGCCGCGGCUUAACUUGGCAAAUUUUGUGCAAAUGGCAUCAAAAAAAAAACCUCGUCGAAAAAUAGAAUGAAACUUGUAUGGUAGGAUAGCUGCCAUUGAGGAUAGUAAAGAAAAAGUGGUCGGCCAAAUCCUGUGUUGGCCACGUGUUGGCAGCUGCCUGUGUCCGGCCAAAUUUGUGGUAUCGAGUGACAGCUACAAUUUAUCUCAUCGAAAAAUAGAAUGAAGAAAACGGAUUAUAAUAGCUAAAUUAAACCUGUUGUCGUAUGUCGGCCUCACCGUAACCUGGCAGUUUUUGGAGGCGACACGUCGAACGUGAUUCGCGGUAGGUAGGCCCUCUGUUUUCAUAUGAACUAGGUUACUUCAAACAGCGCUAAGACGAGCAAAAAAAUGCACCGUCAACAGACGCCUAGAAUACGAAAUCGGCAACAAUCAACGCAGAAAUCAAAACGGUCAGACACUGAUAAUUUAUUUUUAAUUCAGCUCCCGAAAUUUCGUUGAGAUCUUUUGACCCUCCGCUAUCUUUUAACCUUAAUGUUCGUUCACAAAAAUAUACAUCUUUUUUACAUAUUGCCAAAAUGCCAGACGCAAACAGUAUUUAGAACUUCCGGAACCGAAACUAGAGAUCUACAAUAACGGCCCCUAUUACAGGGCUAUUAAAAUUAACAAAAAAAAAUCCCGCUUAUUUAAAAACAUCACACAACCAAUUUGCAACAAAUCUAAAAAGUAAUGAGCUGGUCGAAAAAUCUAUUAUAGUACUUAUAUCUGAAUUUAUGGACGAGGAUACCUUGUUAUCGUUAAAUAUAAUAUAAGUAUGUAAGAAAACAUAUUCUAGUUAAAUGUUAAAUUGAUUGUUUCUACCUAAUUGUUACCUACUCUUAAUUUAUUUUAAGUCAUGUUAUGCUUGUCACAUGUAUAGAACUUAUAAUUUGAUCUGUUAUUUAUUACUUACAAAUAUUUUUGCGAUACCCCACCAGGGUCCAUGUGCCUAUAUGUUACUAUGUAGUCUACUCGUAUGUAAUAUAAAUAUGUACAUUGGAUGCAAAAUAAAGAUCUCUAUCUCUAUAUCUACUCGUAAGUUUUGGAGGAGGAAAAUGUCAAGAACCGAAACCUCAAUUUCUGAGAUUUUUACGCAGGGUUUUUCGCCUAAGCUGCAGUUGUCCUUAUCGCACUAAUUUUAGGAGCCGCACCCGUCAGCGCGACGGGAUAUUUACCUAAAAUUCUCAAAUCUGAGAAGGGGCUCAGCUGGUAUAUUUCCUCUUAUUUAAUUGAAGGGGUUUUCUGGUCACUGGUCCCUGCCUCUGAAUCCUCUGAUACAGGCGAGCAAGCGUAGCUAGGUAGGUCAAUAGGUACCCCGUUUUCAUGAGUAAAUAUUUGCUUGUACUUAUUUAUAAUAUAAACUACACUGUCGUUGCAUAAAUAUUUAAUCAAUUAUUCGUACAUUUAACAUAUUUAUUAAUGAUAUACAUACACCUACAUGCAGAGAUACGAGUCUACGUACAUAUAUGUAUAAUAUUUAAACAUUGCUACAUUAAUUACAUAUAUAAUCGAAGAAUAUUGGAUUACCAACGAGUUUUCUUUUGAUUCUAUUUCAAAAUUCUUCACUCGUACGGGAGAGCGGGGACAAACGUAACAUUUUGUACUUCGACCUCAGUUUCUGGGUUAUUAUUUUGAUGAAAUUAAUGUAGUCAUAAAUAGUCAUAAAUGUCAUAAUAUACAUCCAGUUAAUUGUCUCAUGUAAAUUUACCUUAUAAUUGUGUAUUUUAGAGUGACUUUAAAAAAAUUGUCUGUUGUUACUUAUUUAGUAAAUAAUUAUACUUGUACCUAAUUCACGAAACAAUAUAUAAAAAAGUUGCAUAGUUUGUUAAAAUUUGCAAGGUGUCUCAGGAACCUCGCAGAGGAGGGGCCAUUUGAUGUCCCACCCGUGACACUUCUAAUACCAUCUAUGUCUAAUAAUAAUAAACAAAACAUUUUACUACUUUUGUCAAUCGUGAAGUAAAAAAUUAUGGAGCGGUGUUUUGACUAUUGGAUAAACCUACAGAGCAAUUUUUACUUUUCUUUCCACCCGCUGUUACGUUUGUCCCCGCUCUACCCUACGCCAGACCGAUUUACAAAUAAAAUUCUACUAUACCAAAAUUAAUGUAGGUACUCAUAUCAAUAGUAAAUACUAAUACUUAUAAGAAAUUCCCAUGUCAUAUGAAAUUGUAUUAGCAUGUAGCUUACCUACAUGCAGCCAGAGGCCUGAAGACUGAUAGUUUCCAUACAACGCCGCGUGCGUUAGGGGUCGUCCAGAAAUCAUGUGAUCGUUUAGGAGGGAGGGGGGGGGGGG
Long non-coding RNA from Cydia splendana, 2915 nucleotides. RefSeq lists it as uncharacterized. Lineage: Eukaryota; Metazoa; Arthropoda; Insecta; Lepidoptera; Tortricidae. The transcript has 2 exons. The record is from RefSeq and is a predicted model, not a curated record.